Long non-coding RNA from Cephus cinctus (wheat stem sawfly), 1035 nucleotides. RefSeq lists it as uncharacterized. The transcript is spliced from 3 exons. The record is from RefSeq and is a predicted model, not a curated record. NCBI's taxonomy places the organism in Eukaryota, Metazoa, Arthropoda, Insecta, Hymenoptera, Cephidae.
CAAAGUAUAUCGCGUGCAAACUUCAACGAUCUUCCGCUAGGUUGGCCAGACUCAUCAGUUUAUACCGGAAGGACGGAAGUUCAACUAAAUCAGUAGACAUAUGUUACACUAGUCCCAUACUAGUCUUGCAUCUAAAAAUUUAACCUGGAGGGUGCGAAAGAUUCUUGAAGAGAUUCGCUGAGGAGUUCGUAAAAUCUGGAUCUUUGAAGUAAUUGGGUCCUCAAUUGCUUGACAAGGGUCAGCGGUGGAAAUUGUCGAGUGGAUUAUGCGUGACAGCGAGCUCUAACUGUACGAGUAUAGUUGGAGCAUGUCGCGGUCUCUAUUGCCUUAUGAUUGAUAUGCUUCACGUGAUAUUACAUUCAGCAUGGAACGAAGCUAGAACUUUUUAAAGGAAUCCUUGAAAGCAGCAACUUUCGUAUAAUAUUCAAAAAUUCGGUCAGCAGCUGCGUAUUUUGCGGUCGGGAAUGACAGCCAAGUUCUAAUUAAUUGCGUGCUAACGAAGUCAUGCGUCUUUGCGAAUCGUCGAGAGGAUAAGACACUGAGAGAAGAAAGAAAGCUGUAUAAGAAUCAUGUACCUAUUAAUUAGCUCUUUGUGCAAGAAAGGACUAUUCAGAGAGUUUUGUGUGAUUUAAUUGGAACAACUUAAACUGUUCAUUUGCUAUUAUCCAGACGAGCAAUAUUCUUCACACAUAUUAUCUUCGAAUUAGAAAACUUAGUCCAAAUUCUGUAAAAGUUCUUUUCUGUGAUUAAGUUGAUAUUAUGGUUUUUGCUAAUACCUUUUCACACUAUUUGAAAAACAAAAUCAUUUGAUCAGAAAUUCUUUGAAAUACUUAUCCUCGUACUGUGACAGGUGAUAUUAUAUAUACAUAUACAUAUAUCCGUUAUAUGUAAUAUUAUAACUACAUCGUUUUAAUGAAUAGCUGUUUUUGACAUAAAAUCUAUGCUUAUCAUAAGUAAUUGAAAGAUACUUGUCAGGGCGAUAAUAACGAUAGAGUAAACUGCAAGGACCUGAUGAGCGUCAAUCAAUAAAAAAUC